CGAUGAACCACUUCGGUGGGGAUUAGUGGCGAACGGGUGAGUAACACGUGGGCAAUCUGCCCUGCACUCUGGGACAAGCCCUGGAAACGGGGUCUAAUACCGGAUACGAGUCUCGCGGGCAUCCGUGAGGCUGGAAAGCUCCGGCGGUGCAGGAUGAGCCCGCGGCCUAUCAGCUUGUUGGUGAGGUAACGGCUCACCAAGGCGACGACGGGUAGCCGGCCUGAGAGGGCGACCGGCCACACUGGGACUGAGACACGGCCCAGACUCCUACGGGAGGCAGCAGUGGGGAAUAUUGCACAAUGGGCGCAAGCCUGAUGCAGCGACGCCGCGUGAGGGAUGACGGCCUUCGGGUUGUAAACCUCUUUCAGCAGGGAAGAAGCGCAAGUGACGGUACCUGCAGAAGAAGCGCCGGCUAACUACGUGCCAGCAGCCGCGGUAAUACGUAGGGCGCGAGCGUUGUCCGGAAUUAUUGGGCGUAAAGAGCUCGUAGGCGGCUUGUCGCGUCGGUUGUGAAAGCCCGGGGCUUAACUCCGGGUCUGCAGUCGAUACGGGCAGGCUAGAGUUCGGUAGGGGAGAUCGGAAUUCCUGGUGUAGCGGUGAAAUGCGCAGAUAUCAGGAGGAACACCGGUGGCGAAGGCGGAUCUCUGGGCCGAUACUGACGCUGAGGAGCGAAAGCGUGGGGAGCGAACAGGAUUAGAUACCCUGGUAGUCCACGCCGUAAACGGUGGGCACUAGGUGUGGGCGACAUUCCACGUCGUCCGUGCCGCAGCUAACGCAUUAAGUGCCCCGCCU
RNAcentral lists this ribosomal RNA (792 nucleotides) under Streptomyces sp. RNAcentral's name for it is "bacterial SSU rRNA". It matches the Rfam family "Bacterial small subunit ribosomal RNA", at positions 67 to 874 of the family's 1533-position model. The record is from RNAcentral. Lineage: Bacteria; Bacillati; Actinomycetota; Actinomycetes; Kitasatosporales; Streptomycetaceae.